AUACGAGGGGUGCAAGCGUUGUUCGGAAUUACUGGGCGUAAAGGGAGCGUAGGCGGAGAUUCAAGCGGAUUGUACAAUCCCGGGGCCCAACCCCGGCUCUGCAGUCCGAACUGGAUCUCCUGGAUAGUUCAGGGGCAGGCGGAAUUCCUGGUGUAGCGGUGGAAUGCGUAGAGAUCAGGAAGAACACCGAUGGCGAAGGCAGCCUGCUGGGGACUUAUCGACGCUGAGGCUCGAAAGUGCGGGUAGCAAACAGGAUUAGAUACCCUGGUAGUCCGCACCGUAAACGAUGCAUACUGGGUGUCCGGGGGUUCCCCCGGGUACCGUAGCCAACGCGUUAAGUAUGCCGCCUGGGGAGUACGUACGCAAGUAUGAAACUCAAAUGAAUUGACGGGG
Molecule: ribosomal RNA, 393 nt
Filed under: uncultured bacterium
Lineage: Bacteria
Description: partial 16S ribosomal RNA
Rfam family: Bacterial small subunit ribosomal RNA
Source: RNAcentral